Parus major (Great Tit) is the source of this 809-nucleotide long non-coding RNA. Lineage: Eukaryota; Metazoa; Chordata; Aves; Passeriformes; Paridae. The record is from Ensembl.
CAGGCAACUGUCACAAAUUAAGUUUGCACCUAGACUAAAACAGUGACAGGAAGCAAUGUUUGUCAGGUGGCUUUAUUUCAGUCUUUAAUCUUGUCUGUUUCUCACUUGAAAGGCAGAGACUCCCCUGUGUUAUCCAGGCAGCUGGUGUUGACAAGACGUAAAUGAGACAAGUACUAAAAUAUCCAACAUCCUGUGGACCUGUGGAAAAAUAAUCCUACUUUUUGAUGGAUGGAAUAUGUUCAAAGUAGCAUUCUUGUAUGGAGUAUACAAUUAACUGUCUUGGUAACCUGAAAACCAAUAGACUGUAUUCCCUCUUCUUUUCCUGGAAGUGGCAGAGUUGUAAGGGCUUUUCUAAAUGCCUAAAAUGUCGAGUGUGGUGACUCAUAUGCCUUUCUCUGCAGAUCAGAGCAAAUGUGCAAGGACCUCCCAGUGCCUUGAGGACCACUCUCUUUCCUGGAGAUCUCACAAAACCGAAUGGGUUGAGGUCUCUAUUGAUCUGCACUUCAUGUAUUCAGUACUCCUCCUGUGUGGAUUUGUGAACUGCACUGCUACCUUCCAGAAACUAACAUUUCUCAUGCUGAAACUCUCAUGUUACAGAACUAAAGGAUGCUAAAUGAAAUCAAAAAAGACUCCUGCAAGCAGGAGGGGAAGGCAAUGCAGUGGAUUGUAUUGUUUUAGUGCUUCAGCAUAAAGACUGGUACAUACUCAGUAUACAAUGUAUAUAGAUAUAUAUAUACACAAAUAGAUAUACAGGUAGGUAUGUAUGUCAUAAAACUAAAUAAAACAGGACUGGGGCAAGGGCUGGAUCA